UACGAAGGGGGCUAGCGUUGCUCGGAAUCACUGGGCGUAAAGGGUGCGUAGGCGGGUCUUUAAGUCAGGGGUGAAAUCCUGGAGCUCAACUCUAGAACUGCCUUUGAUACUGAGGAUCUUGAGUUCGGGAGAGGUGAGUGGAACUGCGAGUGUAGAGGUGAAAUUCGUAGAUAUUCGCAAGAACACCAGUGGCGAAGGCGGCUCACUGGCCCGAUACUGACGCUGAGGCACGAAAGCGUGGGGAGCAAACAGG
Molecule: ribosomal RNA, 253 nt
Filed under: uncultured bacterium
Lineage: Bacteria
Description: partial 16S ribosomal RNA
Rfam family: Bacterial small subunit ribosomal RNA
Source: RNAcentral